UUUGCUUUUCAUACCUCUAUGCUCCAUUUCUGCAUUGCAGGGGCGCUCUUUGCUUUUCAUACAUCUAUGUUCCCUUUCUGCAUUGAAGGGGCGCUCUUUGCUUUUCAUACCUCUAUGUUCUUCCUAUCCCUCCCUUUCCCCCUUCCGCCUCCGCUCUCUUCUCCCAUUGGUUGUUGCUUGGGAGAUCCCGCCCCUUUCCCCUUCCUUCGCUCCCUCAUUGGUCGAAGCGCGUCCUGGCAGAUAUGUAGUGCGGGGGCGUUUUCCAUCGUAGCCGCAAUAAUACAAAAUAAAUAAUAAUAUAAUAUCAGAGAUAUAUGGUAUUCGAGCUUAUUAAUAAUCGUUACGUAUUAUUAUGUUGUUUGAAUAUUAGGUGUAUGGAUGUGUCAGGAUUGGCGACGGAAGGGACGGGUUGUGUGAUGGACCUGCCAGGACUUGGGGGCGGGGCAAGGGGCGUGGCUUGGCGCGUGAGGGAGGGAGGGAGGAGGGGGGAGAGCCGGGGAAGGGAACAGCCAAGAUGGCGGCCGGGGUGAGGCGAGCGAAGCGCCGCUGAGGAGAACAAAUUCGGCCGGUGAUCUAAAAAAUCCGAAACUUGGGAGGAGUAGUCCCCUGGCCCGUGGGCGGAUCGUGACAAAAUUGAUGGCAUUGGUGACAAGUAUUAUUACUACUACUAACAGCAACAACAACAACAAUAAUCAUAUCCCGGGAGUUAACGUUUUGCCUGUCGCCUCUUCUACCCACGAAUGCUGGAACCUCAUCAUUGGAAGUAGUCGAAUUGGAAUCUGUGGGUCCUAUACCGCAAAGAACACCUUGCUGACCCAAAGCGACAGGCAAAAUAAUUAUUACAUGUUCCAGAAGCAGUCUCUCCUGACGUUUCACCCAUACCUAUGGCAGGCAUCCUCUGGCGAGAGAGGGCGGUCUAGAAAUAAAGUUUUAUUAUUAUUUUAUCAUUCUUAUGUUAUUCUUAUUGGAAAACUAAGCAAGGGGGGUUUAUAUCUCCUAGGCUCCAAUGGCAUUGAGCUGUUGCAGGUUUUUUUGGGAUGAUGGGAGCUGUAGUUUGACAAGGCUCCGGCACUCUUGGACAGAGGAGGCAAAAGACCUUGCAAAACCCGAACUCCCAGGAUAUUAUUAUUAUUAUUAUUAUUAUUAUUAUUAUUAUUAUUAUUAUUAUUAUUAUUAUUAUUAUUAUUAUUAUUAUUAUUACUACUAUUGUCAUGUAAUUAUAUUUUCCAAAUGGCUCAAUGAUAUAUCAAUGGGAUUCCUUAUGUCUUUUCUCUUUGUCGCCCUCCUGUGGACAGAAGAAUAUUGCACUUGCCUUGGGAUUCUGAUUCGCAGCUCUUUGCUGCCAUCAAAUGGUCAGAGAGGGAAGUGCAGCCUCGAGCCUCGCCUUUGUGCUGCACUUCCCUACCUGACCAUUUGAUGGCAGCAGAGAGCAAAGAAUCAGAGUUUCAAGGCAAGUGCAAUAUUCUUCUGUCCACAGGAGGGUGACAAACGGAAAAGCCAUUAGGACUUAAUGUAAUAUUAAUUGAUAUUUCUUUGAGCUAUAACAGUUUAAAAUAAUACUAAUAUUAAUAAUAAUAAUCUUGGGAGUGAGAGGUUUGCAAGGCCUUUCCCCUCCUCUACCCAAGAGUGCUGGUGCCUUGCCAAACUACAACUCCCACCAUCCCAUGCAACCUCUGCUACUUUGCAACCGCAGAAUACUAUGGCCAUGUUCCCGAAGCAUUCUCUCCUGACGUUUUGCCCACAUUUAUGGCAGGCAUCCUCAUAGGUUGUAAAACUAAGUAAGGGAGGUUUAUCGAUCUCUGGAAUAAUGUCCAGGGCGAGAGAAAGAACUCUUGUCUUGGAGGCGAGUGUGAAUGUUGCCAUUGGCCGCCUUGAUCAGCAUUGAAUGGCCUUGCAGCAUCAAAGACUGGCUGCAUUGCUGCCUGGGGGAAUCCUUUGUUGUGAACGCGUUAGCUGGCCCUUAUUGUUUCCUGUCUGGAAUUCCUGUAGACUCGCAGGCCUGGGAUAGUGAGCAGUUAUCGCACUUUAACUCUCCUUUUUAUAAAUAUUUGAGUUUUUCUUUGCUGCCUAGAAACCAUAACUUUUGGGGCUUUUUCCUUCUAUUUUCCUUUCAUUCUGCCUUCCUGCUUUCAAAAUGGCUUAAAGUUAGAUGUACGUACAAUAUAUUUUAUUAUUAGCAAAGCACACCAUUAGCAUUAUAUGUUAGUAUAUUGUACUAUAACAUCACACUGCAUUAUUAUUUAUAAUAUAUAUUAAUAUAUUGUAUUAUAUUGUAUUACUUUAUAAUAUAAUUAUCAAUAUUAUAUGUAUAUACAAUAUAGGUUAAAGGUAAAGGUUUUCGUGACCGACUCUGAGGUUUGGUGCUCAUCUCCAUUUCUCAGCUGAAGAGCCAGUAUUGUCCAUAGACACCUCCAAGGGCAUGUGGCCACAGACAUGACUGCAUGGAGCACCGUUACCUUCCCGCCAGAGCGGUACCUAUUGAUCUACUCACAUUGGCAUGUUUUCAAAAGUAGUUUUACAAGCAAAGAGAAACUUCCUGACCCAAAGCCAUGCCUGUCUACAUUGAGGGCUCCUGGGAGCUGCAGUUUGGCAUGGCACCAGAACUAUCUGGUUUGGGCCCUUGUAAAACUAGACCUCCCUGGGUCCUAUAGCAGGUAGUUUGGCAGAGGAGGCGAAAGGCCUAGCGAACUAUAUCACUGAGGUUCCCAUAGCAUUGAGCUGUUGCAGAGGUUGUAUGGGAUGGUGGGAGUUGUAGUUUGGCAAGGCACCAUUACUCUUGGGCAGAGGGGGCGAAAGGCCUUGCAAACCUCUAACUCCCUAGAUUAUUAUUAGUAGUAUUAGUAUUAUUUAAGAUAGCCAUGGCUCAAAGUAAUAUCAAUGAGAUCCCCAUUAAACCCUUAUGGCCUUUCCGUUUGUCGCCCUCCUGUGGACAGAAGAAUAUUGCACUUGACUUCAGAUUCUGAUUCUUAGCCCUCUGCUGCCAUCAAAUGGUCAGUUAGGGAAUUGCAGCCUCAGUGUUAUAUUUCCCCCCAAAAUUGCCUUGAGAUUCUCAUCUGCAAUCCUUUGCUGCCAUCACGUGGCAUAUUCGAGAAGUGCAGCCUUGAGUUUUAUUUACUGCAUCGAACCCAUAAUUUUUUGGUUUUUUUCCAUUCAUAUUGGCUUCCUGCUUUCAGAGUGGCUUACAAAUUAUAUGUACGUACAAUAUAUUAUAUAUUAGCAUAGAACAACAUUAGCGUUAUAUAUUACUACAUUGCACUAAGACAUCAUACUGUAUUAUUAUUAGUAAUAUCACAUGUAAUAUAUAAUUAAUAUUAUUACAUUACUAUUGGUAUUACAUUGUAUUACAUUCUAAUAUAAUUAUCAAUACUAUAUGUAUAGACAAUAUAUAUAUUAUUCUAUAUUAUGUUGUAUAUUGGCCCCAGAGCAUCAGAUGGUGAUGGGGGGAGGGCCCCCCAACUGAUGGCAUAGGCAACAAGUGUUACUACGGCUACUAGCAGCAGCAACAACAACAACAACAAUAAUAUCCCGGGAGUUGAAGUUUUGCCUGUCGCCUCUUCUACCCACGAAUGCUGGAGCCUCAUCACUGGAAGGAGUCGAAUUGGAAUCUGUGGGUCCUAGACCGCAAAGAACAACUUCCUGACCCAAAGCCAUGACUGUCUACGUUGUGGGCUCCUGGGAGUUGCAGUUUGGCAUGGCAGCAGCACCUCUGGUUUGAACCCUUGUAAAACUAGACCUUCCAGGGUCCUAUAGCAUGUCGUUUGGCAGAGGAAGCGAAAGGACAAGAGAACUAUAUCUCCCAGUGUGUUGUUGAAGGCUUUCAUGGCCAGAAUCACUGGGUUGUAGUGCAUUUUCCGGGCUGUCUGGCCAAGUUCCAGAAGCAUUCUCUCCUGACGUUUCGCCCACAUCUAUGGCAGGCAUCCUCUGGGGAGAGAGGGCAGUCUAGAAAUAAAGUUUUAUUAUUAUUUUAA
Molecule: long non-coding RNA, 3968 nt
Organism: Anolis carolinensis (green anole)
Lineage: Eukaryota; Metazoa; Chordata; Lepidosauria; Squamata; Anolidae
Exons: 2
Source: RefSeq, a predicted model, not a curated record